AACGCACCUUGCGCCUCUUGGUAUUCCGAGGGGCAUGCCUGUUUGAGUGUGAUUGAAUCCUCAAAAGAGAAUCUUAACAGAUUUUAUCUUUUGGAAUUGGGGUGUGCUGGCCUUUUGUUUAGAAAGCCCAGCUCCCCUGAAAUACAUUAGCGAUGUGACAUCCGCAUGGCACCACGCCUAUCUGGCAUUGAUAGUCUUUUCAUGCUUGAGCGUGUUGUGCAGCUGUGGAAAGCUUUGCUCGCUCACAACUGAUGGGGUUCUCCCCCCCCAUCCUUAUGACCAAUUUAACCUCAAAUCAGGUAGGAUUACCCGCUGAACUUAA
This 322-nucleotide unclassified non-coding RNA is filed under the name Diplodia sp. RNAcentral describes it as "partial contains 5.8S ribosomal RNA, internal transcribed spacer 2, and large subunit ribosomal RNA". The record is from RNAcentral. Lineage: Eukaryota; Fungi; Ascomycota; Dothideomycetes; Botryosphaeriales; Botryosphaeriaceae.